UACAGGGGGGGCAAGCGUUGUUCGAAAUUACUGGGCGUAAAGGGCUCGUAGGCGGCCAACUAAGUCAUACGUGAAAUCCCUCAGCUUAACUGGGGAACUGCGUCUGAUACUGGAUGGCUUGAGUUUGGGAGAGGGAUGCGGAAUUCCAGGUGUAGCGGUGAAAUGCGUAGAUAUCUGGAGGAACACCGGUGGCGAAGGCGGCAUCCUGGACCAACACUGACACUGAGGAGCGAAAGCCAGGGGAGCAAACGGG
This 253-nucleotide ribosomal RNA is filed under the name uncultured bacterium. RNAcentral describes it as "partial 16S ribosomal RNA". It matches the Rfam family "Bacterial small subunit ribosomal RNA", at positions 524 to 776 of the family's 1533-position model. The record is from RNAcentral.